GAUCACCCCGACGCGGGUGGCGAGGGUCCCGCCGAGCGCCAGGUCUAAGAGACACUUUUUCCCGAGUCCACUGACGGCUUCUGAACCCCUGCUCCGGCCGGUCCGCACCGUUCCGGCAUUCUCUUGCUCAGUAACAAUUUCGCAGAAUCCCAUCACGUCACAAACCAAACCCCCUCCAAUUGGCCAGUGGGGAGGGUGAUUCAACUCUGUUUACUUUCUCCCCCUGCCAGUCAGAACGGCCUUCGGUGGAGAGGUGCGUCUAGAACUGAGGCGUGCGGCCAAUCCGACUGUUCCGUUUCGCUGCCUCGUGCUACCCCUACAGCCUCGAACACUGACAUUUAAAAGGGUAACAGCUGGGAGGCAGGGAAGGGGCAGCCGCACACUUUCGGAGUGCCUCGCGGUCCCGUGGCCGGUCCGGGCCUCCUGGCUCACGUUCCAGCUUGCGGAGCUUUGGGACACAUCUUUCCUAGUCAGUUGCGCUCGUUCCUAUGGCAAAAGAGAACUUCAGCUUCGGUUUUCCAGCUCCCAAACAGUUAAGUGACUUCCUGCAAACGCUACAGUCCCAGCAACCAGCCUUCCAAUCAAAAUGAAUAAACCAGCAGACCAAUUCAGAGCCCAUUUCAGUGGUGCAGGUGAGAGGUGUUAGAGACCUGGACAAGGUGGUGGCAGAUGAAGAUGGAGAGAAGAGAGAUAGGAUCUCGCUAUGUUGCCCAGGCUGACCUCCUGCCUCAUGCAUCCCUCACCAAGCUUAACAGGUGAGUCGGAUGAGAUGGAUUACUUGUUGUCAAAACAGUAAGUAAUGGAAAGUUGUGGUCAUUCUUUUGAGAUGUAGAGUGGGAAACAUUUAAGCAUUUCAACUUAGCUUAACAGCAAGCUCAGGAAAUAGACAUUUAUGGUUCCAAAUCUUCCCUUUCCUACCUGUUUUACUUAUUGAUUUUAAAAUUACCACCCAAAGUGCCUUAUUCAGGUUGAUUUUUUAUUGUUUUCUUGGCACAGAAGUAUUUGGAGAAGGUAAACACUGACUAAAAUUAAACAUGGCAGUACUUUGUACAAAUAAAUAUGGUAAACAGAGAUGUGAGAAAAUGCCACUGGGAUUCAUUGGUUAGUCUGAUUAAAUGAGCUCCAGUUGAAGUGCUUCUCUUUGGCAGCCCAGAGUUCAAAGAAUGACAAAAUCCCACACUCAGGCUUUGCAUCCGUUGUGAGAGGCAGAGGAGUGGGAAAAGCCUAGGCUUUGGAGUUCAAGAGACCUGGGUUUGAAUUUGAGUUUCCCUCCUUACUACGUGUGUGACCCUGGAAAUACCUUUUAACUAUGCUGAGCCUUCAUUACCUCAUCUAGUUGGAGAUAACAAAACCUACUUUGUAGAGCUGUUUUGAAGAUUAGACACAAAGAAUAUAAAGUGUCUUGCAAUUACAGAUACAUGAUAAAUGGUAGCUCAGAAGUUGAUAAUUAUGUCUGUAGUCUGUGUAGAUAAAUUCAGUAUGCCUAGUUUAGCCAGAGCUAUUUACGCUGUAGAGCUGUUUCAAACUCCUACUUUAUAUACCUUAUGAUUUUGAGUUCUGUCCUCUAGCCUGGCCGAAAUUUACUAGGCUUUUGGAAAAGUUAACAAGUUAAUGGACUGGCUUAACAUAUAUAGUCACAAGCUGCAUAAGUGUCCCUAUGAAGAAAGUAUAUCAAUAGUUGUAAAAGCAUUUGAACAUAUGUACAUUGUAUAAGCAUAAGAUUAAUUACAGGUAGCUUAUGAUGGAGACUGUACAGGAAGGCCCACCAGAGAUUAAAUCUGUGCAGUUUUUCUCUAUGUACAGGUGCCAGAAAUGACUUUGGAUCAUUGAAGGUAGAAGUGUGGGGGUAUAGAUACUGUAGAAUCACUUGGGGAGAUACUCUUAGAAGGGCACAUUGUCUUUUUUUUUUUCUUUGAGACAGGGUCUUGCUCUGUUGUCC
Molecule: long non-coding RNA, 1939 nt
Filed under: Homo sapiens (human)
Lineage: Eukaryota; Metazoa; Chordata; Mammalia; Primates; Hominidae
Description: HSALNT0352694
Source: RNAcentral